GGGUGUGUAGCUCAGUGGUAGAGCGCGUCUCUUAUAAAGCCGAUGUCCUUGGUUCGAUCCCAAGCACACCCA
Molecule: transfer RNA, 72 nt
Filed under: Candidatus Levyibacteriota bacterium
Lineage: Bacteria; Candidatus Levyibacteriota
Also listed under: 1 other name
Description: tRNA-Tyr
Rfam family: tRNA
About the family: Transfer RNA (tRNA) molecules are approximately 80 nucleotides in length.
Source: RNAcentral